This 63-nucleotide transfer RNA is filed under the name Amynthas micronarius. Its description in RNAcentral is "tRNA-Trp". The record is from RNAcentral. Lineage: Eukaryota; Metazoa; Annelida; Clitellata; Crassiclitellata; Megascolecidae.
AAGACUUUAAGUUAAAUUAAACUAAAAACCUUCAAAGUUUUCAAUAGGAUAUCCUAAGUUUUG